Molecule: transfer RNA, 73 nt
Filed under: Felis catus (domestic cat)
Lineage: Eukaryota; Metazoa; Chordata; Mammalia; Carnivora; Felidae
Also listed under: 1 other name
Rfam family: tRNA
About the family: Transfer RNA (tRNA) molecules are approximately 80 nucleotides in length.
Source: Rfam by way of RNAcentral
ACAUGGCUGGCUUAGUUGGUAGAGCAUGUGACUCUUGAUCUCAGGGUGGUGAGUUCGAACCCCACGUUGGGUG